CUGCACACAAAUGCAACAAGUCUAGCUUAAGGCUUUGGGAAGUUGGUGGAAAUCCAACACUGCCCCCGCAACGGUAAAAUGAAAAUAUUAUUCUUUAAUAAGUCAAAAGACUUACACCACUGCAAUGUUUUGUGGGAAGGUGGAAUAAUCUGAAUCGCUUUAGGUUCUAUAUUUAAGUCCGGAUACCAGCUUGUUGUGCCCUUAAACU
Molecule: non-coding RNA, 208 nt
Filed under: Acinetobacter guillouiae
Lineage: Bacteria; Pseudomonadati; Pseudomonadota; Gammaproteobacteria; Moraxellales; Moraxellaceae
Also listed under: 2 other names
Source: RNAcentral